RNAcentral lists this non-coding RNA (126 nucleotides) under unclassified sequences. Its description in RNAcentral is "c-di-GMP sequence". It matches the Rfam family "c-di-GMP-II-GAG riboswitch aptamer". The record is from Rfam by way of RNAcentral.
AGUGAACACGGACGCAUCGAUCCUCGGGACAUCGCAACAACGGUCGCCCACCUGACGUGAAGGAGCGCAAGCUCCCGACGCCGGUGGUCCCGAGGGGAGCGAGUGGCGAGACCGGCCGUGCACGCG